This 601-nucleotide ribosomal RNA is filed under the name uncultured Methanomicrobiaceae archaeon. RNAcentral's name for it is "bacterial SSU rRNA". It matches the Rfam family "Archaeal small subunit ribosomal RNA", at positions 423 to 1022 of the family's 1478-position model. The record is from RNAcentral. Lineage: Archaea; Methanobacteriati; Methanobacteriota; Methanomicrobia; Methanomicrobiales; Methanomicrobiaceae.
AUAACUGGUGAAGAAAGGGCCGGGCAAGACCGGUGCCAGCCGCCGCGGUAAUACCGGCGGCUCGAGUGGUGGCCACUAUUACUGGGCUUAAAGCGUUCGUAGCUGGUUUGUUAAGUCUCUGGGGAAAUCUUCCGGCUUAACCGGAAGGCGUCUCAGGGAUACUGGCAGACUAGGGACCGGAAGAGGUGAGAGGUACUCCAGGGGUAGGAGUGAAAUCCUGUAAUCCUUGGGGGACCACCUGUGGCGAAGGCGUCUCACCAGAACGGCUCCGACAGUGAGGGACGAAAGCUGGGGGAGCAAACCGGAUUAGAUACCCGGGUAGUCCCAGCCGUAAACGAUGUGCAUUAGGUGUAUCGGUGACCACGAGUCACCGAGGUGCCGAAGAGAAAUCGUGAAAUGCGCCGCCUGGGAAGUACGGUCGCAAGGCUGAAACUUAAAGGAAUUGGCGGGGGAGCACCACAACAGGUGGAGCCUGCGGUUUAAUCGGACUCAACGCCGGGAAACUCACCAGAUAAGACAGCUGAAUGAUAGUCGGGCUGAAGACUCUACUUGACUAGCUGAGAGGAGGUGCAUGGCCGUCGUCAGUUCGUACUGUGGAAGC